AGCAGUCGCCACGGUAAUACGUAGGGCGCGAGCGUUGUCCGGAAUUAUUGGGCGUAAAGAGCUCGUAGGCGGCUGGUCGCGUCUGUCGUGAAAUCCUCUGGCUUAACUGGGGGCUUGCGGUGGGUACGGGCCGGCUUGAGUGCGGUAGGGGAGACUGGAACUCCUGGUGUAGCGGUGGAAUGCGCAGAUAUCAGGAAGAACACCGGUGGCGAAGGCGGGUCUCUGGGCCGUUACUGACGCUGAGGAGCGAAAGCGUGGGGAGCGAACAGGAUUAGAUACCCCAGUAGUCCCUGUCUCUUAUAC
This 303-nucleotide ribosomal RNA is filed under the name uncultured bacterium. Its description in RNAcentral is "partial 16S ribosomal RNA". It matches the Rfam family "Bacterial small subunit ribosomal RNA", at positions 507 to 807 of the family's 1533-position model. The record is from RNAcentral.